RNAcentral lists this ribosomal RNA (253 nucleotides) under uncultured bacterium. Its description in RNAcentral is "partial 16S ribosomal RNA". It matches the Rfam family "Bacterial small subunit ribosomal RNA", at positions 524 to 776 of the family's 1533-position model. The record is from RNAcentral.
UACGUAGGGUGCAAGCGUUGUCCGGAAUUAUUGGGCGUAAAGAGCUCGUAGGCGGUUUGUCGCGUCGGCUGUGAAAUCCCGAGGCUCAACCUCGGGCCUGCAGUCGAUACGGGCAAACUAGAGUGUGGUAGGGGAGACUGGAAUUCCUGGUGUAGCGGUGAAAUGCGCAGAUAUCGGGAGGAACACCUGUGGCGAAAGCAGCUCACUGGACCACAACUGACGCUGAGACGCGAAAGCGUGGGGAGCAAACAGG